Molecule: small nucleolar RNA, 99 nt
Filed under: Sorex araneus (European shrew)
Lineage: Eukaryota; Metazoa; Chordata; Mammalia; Eulipotyphla; Soricidae
Description: Small nucleolar RNA SNORA65 (ENSSARG00000020035.1)
Source: RNAcentral
UGGGCCAUUGCAAUCCAAUGGUGAACUAUGACUUAAGCCCAGUUUAGGAAACAAGGUUGUUCUUCAUGUGGAUGACUGUGACAACACAUGGGAACAGCC